GGGGGGGGGGGGGGGGGGGGGGGGGGGGGGCGGGGCGGGGGGGGGGGCGCGGCGUGGGGGGGGUGCUCGGGGGGCGAACGGGGGAGUAACACGUGGGUAACCUGCCCUUGACUUUGGGAUAACUUCAGGAGACUGGGGCUAAUACCGGAUAGGAGCUCCUGCGGCAUGGUGGGGGUUGGAAAGUUUCGGCGGUUGGGGAUGGACUCGCGGCUUAUCAGCUUGUUGGUGGGGUAGUGGCUUACCAAGGCUUUGACGGGUAGCCGGCCUGAGAGGGUGACCGGCCACAUUGGGACUGAGAUACGGCCCAGACUCCUACGGGAGGCAGCAGUGGGGAAUAUUGCACAAUGGGCGGAAGCCUAAUGCAGCAACGCCGCGUGCGGGAUGACGGCCUUCGGGUUGUAAACCGCUUUCGCCUGUGACGAAGCGUGAGUGACGGUAAUGGGUAAAGAAGCACCGGCUAACUACGUG
This 468-nucleotide ribosomal RNA is filed under the name uncultured bacterium. Its description in RNAcentral is "partial 16S ribosomal RNA". The stretch from base 49 to 468 matches the Rfam family "Bacterial small subunit ribosomal RNA", at positions 39 to 507 of the family's 1533-position model. The record is from RNAcentral.